Long non-coding RNA from Sarcophilus harrisii (Tasmanian devil), 614 nucleotides. RefSeq lists it as uncharacterized. The transcript has 2 exons. Lineage: Eukaryota; Metazoa; Chordata; Mammalia; Dasyuromorphia; Dasyuridae. The record is from RefSeq and is a predicted model, not a curated record.
CUCAGACACUUGACAUUCACUAGCUAUGUGAUAAUGGACAAAUGACAACCUCAACUGUCUUACACACACACAAGAAUACAUUGUGUCAACUGAUGGAAAAUAAAGAGUGACAACCCUUUGAAAAAACUUUUAUAGGGAGCCAAGAGGACAGCAUACAGCCUAAGGCCCAUCUGAACUCUCCCAACAUUCCCCUCCAAACAACUUUAAAAUACCUCAAAUAAAAUUUUGGAGCAGCAGAAGCAACCAAAGGCCACUGGAAGACAUUUUCCAGCCAAAGACACUAUGAGAAAUCUGGAGAAGGAUCUGCAAGAAGGGUGGGCAGAGACCUCAAGCAAGGCAAAAGCAUCAGUGAUGGACCUUGGAGGCACUUAUGAUCACAGCAACAGCAGCAGCUUCAGAAGCACUCAACCCAGAAAUGAUACUAGCACUGACCUAUUCCCAAAAUCAGACUGCAGAGGCAACACGAAGUAGGAAAACACAGCACAGAGUUGGAAGGAACCCCCUCUCCUCAAGGUCAUCUAGUUCAAGUAAUCCCAGAACAGGAAUCCCAUCUAUAAUAUACCAACCUUUUGUUUGGAAAACUACCAGAAAAGGGAGCCUACAAAUUCCUAAGC